This 496-nucleotide ribosomal RNA is filed under the name uncultured bacterium. RNAcentral's name for it is "partial 16S ribosomal RNA". It matches the Rfam family "Bacterial small subunit ribosomal RNA", at positions 28 to 507 of the family's 1533-position model. The record is from RNAcentral.
GACGAACGCUGGCGGCGUGCCUAAUACAUGCAAGUAGAACGCUGAAGAGAGGAGCUUACUCUUCUUGGAUGAGUUGCGAACGGGUGAGUAACGCGUAGGUAACCUGCCUUGUAGGGGGGGAUACUAUUGGAAACGAUAGCUAAUACCGCAUAACAAUGGAUGACACAUGUCAUUUAUUUGAAAGGGGCAAUUGCUCCACUACAAGAUGGACCUGCGUUGUAUUAGCUAGUAGGUGAGGUAAUGGCUCACCUAGGCGACGAUACAUAGCCGACCUGAGAGGGUGAUCGGCCACACUGGGACUGAGACACGGCCCAGACUCCUACGGGAGGCAGCAGUAGGGAAUCUUCGGCAAUGGGGGCAACCCUGACCGAGCAACGCCGCGUGAGUGAAGAAGGUUUUCGGAUCGUAAAGCUCUGUUGUAAGUCAAGAACGGGUGUGAGAGUGGAAAGUUCACACUGUGACGGUAGCUUACCAGAAAGGGACGGCUAACUACGUG